GGUGUAGCUCAGUGGUAGAGCGCUUGCCUAGCAUGCGUGAGACCCUGGGUUCCAUCCCCAGCAUC
RNAcentral lists this transfer RNA (65 nucleotides) under Ictidomys tridecemlineatus (thirteen-lined ground squirrel). RNAcentral's name for it is "Spermophilus tridecemlineatus (thirteen-lined ground squirrel) tRNA". It matches the Rfam family "tRNA". Rfam says of the family: Transfer RNA (tRNA) molecules are approximately 80 nucleotides in length. Their secondary structure includes four short double-helical elements and three loops (D, anti-codon, and T loops). Further hydrogen bonds mediate the characteristic L-shaped molecular structure. tRNAs have two regions of fundamental functional importance: the anti-codon, which is responsible for specific mRNA codon recognition, and the 3' end, to which the tRNAs corresponding amino acid is attached (by aminoacyl-tRNA synthetases). tRNAs cope with the degeneracy of the genetic code in two manners: having more than one tRNA (with a specific anti-codon) for a particular amino acid; and 'wobble' base-pairing, i.e. permitting non-standard base-pairing at the 3rd anti-codon position. Lineage: Eukaryota; Metazoa; Chordata; Mammalia; Rodentia; Sciuridae. The record is from Rfam by way of RNAcentral.